Molecule: non-coding RNA, 73 nt
Organism: Phrynosoma platyrhinos (Desert horned lizard)
Lineage: Eukaryota; Metazoa; Chordata; Lepidosauria; Squamata; Phrynosomatidae
Source: the annotation of a GenBank genome assembly
AGCCAUCUAGGCAUAGUGGUUUGAGUAUUGGACUACAACUCUGGAGACCAGGGUUCAAAUCUCUGGUCAGUCA